ACCCACAAACACACACAAGGAAAAAGACAGACAGGGGAAAACUGGAGACACAGGGGAAAAGGGAAACUCGAGGGAAAUAACUACAGGCUCGGCUGGAGCCAUGACACUGCUGUCCAAGGUGCUGAUUCUGAGGCUGCCAGGGAUGUGGGAGCCGCUGGGGGCACUUGGCGUUGUUGAUUCAGUGAGGUGCUAUUCCCAUUGCUAACUAUGAGCUUCAGGAAUAAUUUUAGUCUCCAAAAGUCUCCAGUGGGGCCCUCCAUAACUGUAAAUUCUGCUUCAAAUUGUAAGACUUCAUCA
Molecule: long non-coding RNA, 297 nt
Organism: Thunnus maccoyii (southern bluefin tuna)
Lineage: Eukaryota; Metazoa; Chordata; Actinopteri; Scombriformes; Scombridae
Exons: 3
Source: RefSeq, a predicted model, not a curated record